Molecule: long non-coding RNA, 3484 nt
Organism: Anolis carolinensis (green anole)
Lineage: Eukaryota; Metazoa; Chordata; Lepidosauria; Squamata; Anolidae
Exons: 4
Source: RefSeq, a predicted model, not a curated record
UGCAUCAUCUUCCUGCUCCAACCCCAGAGAAGCGGGGAGGGAAGGAAGCGGGCUGCUGCCCAGACCUCCUCCUCCUCCUCCUCGGAGGGGCGGCGGAGGCAAACCGGGGCGGCAGAUGCGGCUCUAAUUGCUUUCCUGGACCCUUCCUGGAGGCUUUGGGGCUGAGGCGGAGGAGGAGGAGUGGCAGGCUGGCGAGUCCCGUCCACUCCACAUCCACACCACAUCGGCGGAGGGAGGGGAAAGUCGUCCAUACAUACACAUAAUAGAGCCAGGGCUGAUCCCUUCACCCGCGAACUCUGAGGAGGCUGGAAAACCCUUCACUGCCUGGGAGAGCAAUCCAGACAUAUCCAAUCAGAUGACACAAGCUGUGGACGCAUCCCAUCAAUGGGAGAAGUGGCAAGGAGGCAUUGAAAGAAGCUUCCUCACCACCAUGGAAAAAAGAAGGAGGAACAGAAGGUCAAGUUCAUGCAAGAUACUGCCAGUCAAAACGAGAACUCAGCUUGCUACACUUUACAAAUUAAAAGUGAAUACUUAGCAAAAUACAGAUGUGACCCUUUGGUUUAGAGGACUGCACUUGUUAAUAAGAGGGAGACAGCAGGAGAGUGGAGACCAGAUGGGAAGAAAGUAAAUCCAGAAGCAUAGAAUGAUCUCAGAUCAGGUGCCUUCGACAGGACUCAGACUGGCAGGAUAAGGGAUAUUCAACCUGCAUUUUAUUUUACAGGUAACAUUUCUUCCAAAGUGUGACCUUAUUCUUCCCUAUGUUAUCUUCAGAAAAAUCCUGUGAGGUAGGUUAAGCUAAGAGAGGGUGACUGUCCUGAUUUCACCAUAUGUAUCCUAAUAUGGUCAAAUCUGCCAAAUAUGGACCAUUUUGGUGCCCUUUUAAAAAUGUGAAAUAAAUGGAAAAUUGACUUCCAAUUGAUUUGCUAUUUUUUUAAGUCCUCCCAAGAUCUCAAAAAAGAGUCAUCCUCCAAUGUGAAAAAAUUACUUGCUCUAUCCUAAUUUUUUUACAAAUGGAAUUCUCAAAAUUCUCAUUGUUGCUCAUCAGUAUAAAUCUCCUCUGGUGUUUCUUCAUUCUGUGCUGGUAGUAGAUCUUGAAAGAGCUGUAAUGAAGAUGAGUGGUUGCUCAUCUUACUAGUUUUUUUUUUUAAAAAAAAUCAUUUUGUCUUGUUGAAUAAUCAAGCAAUCAAAUUUUAUGUGGGUGUGUGAAUCAAAGUGUGCACCCAGCUCAGAACAGACUGAGUCCAGAUUAGCAUGGUCUGAAACAGGUCCAGAUCCAGAUGUGAAUUGGUUCCAGAUUGAAACUGGGCACCCUCUAAUAAUAAUAAUUAUAAUAAUGUACUUUAUUUAUAUUCUGCUCUAUCUCCCUGAGGGGACUCAGAGCAGAUUACAGGUACAUAUAUGGCAAACAUUCAAUGAUGUUAUACAAUUGACAAAGACAUAAACAGAGGCAAGGCUUCCCUCUUUUCCUCUCCGGCAUCCACUGUGCUCAACUCGGCCAUGGGAAGGUGCUGUUGUUUCAUUUUUCACACCGACGAGCCUGUCAUCCAUGGACACCUUUUCUGGUUGGAUUUUGGCUGGCAUGUUUUUCAGGGUGCCUUUUACCUCCCCACCAAAGCGGUACCUAGUUAUCUACUUAUAUUCUUGUUUUUGAACUGCUAGGUGAGCGGAAGCUGGGCUGAUGGCAGGAGCUCAUCCUGACCCAGGCUUGAAUUACCAACCUUCCAAUCGGCAGGAUCUUCUAUAGCUGACGGUUUAACCCCCUGUGCUAGCCCGGCCCAGCAAUAAUUUGUUUGUCUUUAUGGAAUAUGACUGUCAGGACCCAGGCUGCAGAGCACCAAUAACCAUGCGCAGAGACCAGAAUCUAUCUAAUAUCUUUAUUAAGGAAAUAUAUAAAGUCAAUAAAAACAAGUGUAGAAUAUAGUUCAGAAGUAGACCUUUCAGGAAAGGUCAAAUAUAGUCCAGGAAAAUAAUGUCCAAUAUGUGAUAUUAAAGUCCAAAGUUAUAAUCCAAUAACCGAAACACACACUUUGCCAAGCAAAGUGUGGGGAGAAGACAAGGUCCUUAAGUCCAUAGAAACUUGGCAAUUAGGCUGGAAAGCAAACUUGAUACUUGGCUAGAACAAGACUUGAAACAAGGCAACAAGAGCAAAAACAAGGUCCGUGGUAAACGCGGGACAAGGCAAGGAUGGAAACUUGAUCCGGGAAACAGGGAACUGGAGUACAAAGUCUACACACGAUCUCACUCCUCCAGCUGACGAAUUGACUCCGCAAAGUUUCCCUUGCGGCAAACACCUAAAUAGGGUCUCGUUUCCCGCCAGAAGAACACUUUCCCUGGAGAACUAGAAGUGAAACUCAACUUAGUCCAGAUGCAAGACUCCUUAGAAUUUCCCAAGGGAAGCAGACUUAAUCAGCUAAUUGUUUGGCUGCGAUUCUGGCGCUCCGGCGAUUCGCCUCCCUAUUUCCUCUAUCUCUAUUAUAAUUGUCUCUUCGAGAAAAUGGGGGAGAAUUCUGCCCAAGGCUUGUUUGGCUGACGUCUUGAGGGCAAACAUCCUCCAGGUGCAAGGGCUCCGUUUCUGGCUGAAACGGUGUAAAUCCCAUGUUUUCCUCUUCGUCUGCCACAAUAGUACUAGGAACGGAACUACAUGGCCCAUGAGACAUCACAAUGACUUUAUAGAAGUGGUGGGACUGUGGCAGGCAAGUGGCUGCACAAGUAUGAAUCAGGGAAAGAGCUCUUGCAAGUGAAGCUUCAAUAGCUUUAUAGAAAUAUCUCUGCCAAAUAUCUCAAGGGUAAUGUUGUCAAUAUUGGUUUGUUAAAAGUUCUUUCAGUCCAGGAGCAGAGUUUACAUGCACAACUGGUUUACCUAAUGUGCAUUUCAUCUGCCCAUUAUACCAUAAAUAUGAAACUGAAACAGAAGGUGUUUGCUACCUUCAACUGCCUGUCCACAACAUCAAAUUGAAAAAAGGCCCACCAUAUUAAUAUGUAAGCAUUUCUCUCCACAGACCCCUUUGCCCUAUGAACAGUUAUAUGUCACAGGAAAAUCCCAAUCAUCUGUUCAUCUGUCAGAUAUAGUAAAAGCUUCACCUUCCCAAAGAAGAGAAUUUCUGAACUAAGCUAUACAUUGUAUUGCUAUUAUUCAAGUUCUUGGAAUCUGAACAAACUGAAAAGUGUAAUUUACAUGUCAUUAAUUUGCUACAUUAAGCUGUUGUACAACUCCUCAUUGUUUAGGUAACUAUUCUUUAACAGGAGAUAUUCGUUUUAAUUUAAUUCUUAUAGAUUUGUGUUAAUCUUGGCCUACUACUAUAAUGGGAAUUUCUUUUGCCUUUUUAUUUCAUGCAGUAAUUGUGCGUUAUAUUCUUCUCAUCAUUUCUUGACACUUUUCUCUGUACAUUUCGGUAUAUGCACAAUGCUUACAUCAAUAGUAGAUUGCUGAAUGCACUUUAUAUUAUAUGCAAUAUAUUAUGAUGAGUUCUGUUUCUGAAUCUGA